UACGUAGGGUGCGAGCGUUGUCCGGAAUUAUUGGGCGUAAAGGGCGCGUAGGCGGCGGGGUAAGUCAGGUGUGAAAUUUCGGAGCUUAACUCCGAAACUGCAUUUGAUACUGCCUUGCUUGAGGACUGGAGAGGAGACUGGAAUUCACGGUGUAGCAGUGAAAUGCGUAGAGAUCGUGAGGAAGACCAGUGGCGAAGGCGGGUCUCUGGACAGUUCCUGACACUGAGGCACGAAGGCCAGGGGAGCAAACGGG
Molecule: ribosomal RNA, 253 nt
Filed under: uncultured bacterium
Lineage: Bacteria
Description: partial 16S ribosomal RNA
Rfam family: Bacterial small subunit ribosomal RNA
Source: RNAcentral